AUAUCUCUCCGUACGGGAAGGAUGAGAAGCUUCGACUAAGGUUCGAUUCGAGCGCAGCGAGAACGCGUUGCCGCAG
Molecule: small RNA, 76 nt
Filed under: Salmonella enterica subsp. enterica serovar Heidelberg
Lineage: Bacteria; Pseudomonadati; Pseudomonadota; Gammaproteobacteria; Enterobacterales; Enterobacteriaceae
Also listed under: 6 other names
Description: partial RtT sRNA
Rfam family: RtT RNA
About the family: This family represents a bacterial cis-regulatory element known as RtT RNA. The exact function of RtT is unknown although it is thought that it may be involved in changing the cellular response in relation to amino acid starvation.
Source: RNAcentral